AGCAGGGUACACCCGACAGGACGGAAAGUCGCCUUGGAGAUUUACUGUAUAGAGAUAUUGAAUUAAGGUACAUUUGGUACAGGAUAGGCGGGAGCAAUUGAAACCGGAGCGCUAGAUUCGGUGGAGGCGCUGGUGGGAUACCGCCCUGACUGUAUUGAAAUUAUAAACUACGGGUCUUAUAGACCCGGGAGACAGUGUCAGGUGGGCAGUUUGAAUGGGGCGGUCGCCUCAUAAAGUGUAACGGAGGCGCCCAAAGGUUACCUCAGAA
Molecule: ribosomal RNA, 268 nt
Filed under: Bacillus cereus
Lineage: Bacteria; Bacillati; Bacillota; Bacilli; Caryophanales; Bacillaceae
Description: partial 23S ribosomal RNA
Rfam family: Bacterial large subunit ribosomal RNA
Source: RNAcentral